This 85-nucleotide transfer RNA is filed under the name Lentisphaerota bacterium. RNAcentral's name for it is "Lentisphaerae bacterium (hot springs metagenome) tRNA-Leu". It matches the Rfam family "tRNA". From Rfam's summary of the family: Transfer RNA (tRNA) molecules are approximately 80 nucleotides in length. Their secondary structure includes four short double-helical elements and three loops (D, anti-codon, and T loops). The record is from RNAcentral. Lineage: Bacteria; Pseudomonadati; Lentisphaerota.
GCUCCCGUGGCGGAACUGGCAGACGCGCAGGACUUAGGAUCCUGUGCCGAAAGGCUUGGGGGUUCGAAUCCCUCCGGGAGCACCA